RNAcentral lists this transfer RNA (73 nucleotides) under Nicotiana sylvestris (wood tobacco). It matches the Rfam family "tRNA". From Rfam's summary of the family: Transfer RNA (tRNA) molecules are approximately 80 nucleotides in length. Their secondary structure includes four short double-helical elements and three loops (D, anti-codon, and T loops). The record is from Rfam by way of RNAcentral. Lineage: Eukaryota; Viridiplantae; Streptophyta; Magnoliopsida; Solanales; Solanaceae. RNAcentral also lists the same sequence under 1 other name.
GCUCUUGUAGCUCAAUUGGUUAGAGUGUUUGUUUAGUUAGCAGAGGUCCUGAAUUCAACUCUUAACAAGAGCA